GAUGAAGAACGUAGCAAAAUGCGAUAAGUAAUGUGAAUUGAAGAAUUCAGUGAAUCAUCGAAUCUUUGAACGCACAUUGCGCCCGCUGGUAUUCCGGCGGGCAUGCCUGUUCGAGCGUCAUUUCAACCCUCAAACCCCCGGGUUUGGUGUUGGGGAUCGGCUCUGCCUCACGGCGGUGCCGCCCCCGAAAUACAUUGGCGGUCUCGCUGCAGCCUCCAUUGCGUAGUAGCUAACACCUCGCAACUGGAACGCGGCGCGGCCAUGCCGUAAAACCCCACCUUCUGAAUGUUGACCUCGGAUCAGGUAGGAAUACCCGCUGAACUUAAGCAUAUCAAUAAGCGGAGGA
This 346-nucleotide unclassified non-coding RNA is filed under the name soil metagenome. Its description in RNAcentral is "partial contains 5.8S ribosomal RNA, internal transcribed spacer 2, and large subunit ribosomal RNA". The stretch from base 1 to 120 matches the Rfam family "5.8S ribosomal RNA", at positions 35 to 154 of the family's 154-position model. The record is from RNAcentral.